UAUAUACUUUUGUUCAGGUAGACUGCCAGACUUAUAAUUUGUUUAUAUAUAUAUAUAUAUAUAUAUAUAUAUGUAUAUAUAUAAACAAAUUAUAAGUCUGGCAGUCUACCUGAACAAAAGUAUAAA
This is a non-coding RNA of Pelobates cultripes (western spadefoot toad), 126 nucleotides long. The record is from the annotation of a GenBank genome assembly. NCBI's taxonomy places the organism in Eukaryota, Metazoa, Chordata, Amphibia, Anura, Pelobatidae.